Molecule: non-coding RNA, 110 nt
Organism: Salmo salar (Atlantic salmon)
Lineage: Eukaryota; Metazoa; Chordata; Actinopteri; Salmoniformes; Salmonidae
Source: RefSeq, a predicted model, not a curated record
UGGUCAGGUGUAGGACAGGACAGGACAGGGUACCUGUUGGUCAGGUGUAGGACAGGGUACCUGGUGGUCAGGUGUAGGACAGGGUACCUGGUGGUCAGGUGUAGGACAGG